UGGGGAAUUUUGGACAAUGGGCGAAAGCCUGAUCCAGCAAUGCCGCGUGUGUGAAGAAGGCCUUCGGGUUGUAAAGCACUUUUGUCCGGAAAGAAAUCCUUGGCUCUAAUACAGUCGGGGGAUGACGGUACCGGAAGAGUAAGCACCGGCUAACUACGUGCCAGCAGCCGCGGUAAUACGUAGGGUGCAAGCGUUAAUCGGAAUUACUGGGCGUAAAGCGUGCGCAGGCGGUUUGCUAAGACCGAUGUGAAAUCCCCGGGCUCAACCUGGGAACUGCAUUGGUGACUGGCAGGCUAGAGUAUGGCAGAGGGGGGUAGAAUUCCACGUGUAGCAGUGAAAUGCGUAGAGAUGUGGAGGAAUACCGAUGGCGAAGGCAGCCCCCUGGGCCAAUACUGACGCUCAUGCACGAAAGCGUGGGGAGCAAACAGGAUUAGAUACCCUGGUAGUCCACGCCCUAAACGAUGUCAACUAGUUGUUGGGGAUUCAUUUCCUUAGUAACGUAGCUAACGCGUGAAGUUGACCGCCUGGGGAGUACGGUCGCAAGAUU
This 547-nucleotide ribosomal RNA is filed under the name uncultured bacterium. RNAcentral's name for it is "partial 16S ribosomal RNA". It matches the Rfam family "Bacterial small subunit ribosomal RNA", at positions 355 to 895 of the family's 1533-position model. The record is from RNAcentral.